CCUACGGGUGGCAGCAGUGAGGAAUAUUGGUCAAUGGGCUUACGCCUGAACCAGCCAAGUCGCGUGAGGGAAGACUGCCCUAUGGGUUGUAAACCUCUUUUGUCAGGGAGCAACGCCGGCUACGUGUAGCCGGACUGAGAGUACCUGAAGAAAAAGCAUCGGCUAACUCCGUGCCAGCAGCCGCGGUAAUACGGAGGAUGCGAGCGUUAUCCGGAUUUACUGGGUGUAAAGGGAGCGUAGACGGCUGUGCAAGUCUGAAGUGAAAGCCCAGGGCUCAACCCUGGGACUGCUUUGGAAACUGUGGAGCUAGAGUGCUGGAGAGGCAGGUGGAAUUCCUAGUGUAGCGGUGAAAUGCGUAGAUAUUAGGAGGAGCACCAGUGGCGAAGGCGGCCUGCUGGACGAUGACUGACGUUGAGGCUCGAAAGCGUGGGGAGCAAACAGGAUUAGAUACCCUGGUAGUC
This 461-nucleotide ribosomal RNA is filed under the name uncultured bacterium. Its description in RNAcentral is "partial 16S ribosomal RNA". It matches the Rfam family "Bacterial small subunit ribosomal RNA", at positions 338 to 795 of the family's 1533-position model. The record is from RNAcentral.